UGUAACUCUGUGUUGUUGUCUGUGUCACACUGCUUUGCUUUAUCUUGGCCAGGUCGCAGUUGCAAAUGAGAAUAUUUUCAUAAUAUACUUUGAAAUUAGCAUUGCAGGAGUAUUGGUGAAAAUGUUUGUAGUCAUCCUUAUAUAAUGUGUCAUGAUUGAAAUACAAAUGUAAUGCUUUUUCAUCCGUUUUGGCCUUAUCUCGUACCAGUAACUGCUUUCAGACCUAGUCAUGCUGAUCAGGGUGAAAUUCAAUGGUGAACAAAAAUAUGUCAAGAUCAUUUACCUGACACUUGAAGACCUUUUGAUUGGAGGUAAACUUUUCAUUUGCAAUUGGAAAUAAAUGUAUUGUUUUCAUACCAGUCAGUCUGAUUAGUCUUACCAUUUACGAUUGCGAUUCUAAUUGUAGGUUGUUUUUUAAAUGUUUGUCACAGCUUUCCUGACAUUUGAGAUCCCACUUACUAGUUUAUCAGAGGCAAAGCUGUAUGAUGGGUCUGGAACUGAAGUUGAUGGGAAUGUGUUUGAGGAGGCGGUGACACGGCCAAAUCUUGGUGUUUUCAAGCUCACACUGUACAAUGAUGCUAAAGGAUGGGAUAGUGACCUAUCCUCCAUCCUUCUCCUGCUCCAUUUGACUCCUCCUACAUCACAAGGCCGCAAAAGACCAGGAAAGAUGUCUGCAUCCCAAGCUGAACAGCAUCUUGUCAUAUUCCAAAAGGCAGGAACCAGUAUCCAGGAGCACCUUGAUGCGAUUGACCAGAGCCGCCAACCAUAUCUUAUUGCAGUCGGGACCAGGAAGAGCAGCAUCCAUGCUUACUUCAUCAUCCUGGACAUGCGAGCCUUGCUGUGCAAGUCAAUGAGAGCUCUUGUUGCCUUCGAUGAGCUUUGCAAGACUCACUUUGUUUUUGGUACUGCUUACAAUAGAAUGCUGCGCAACAUGUACACCUUCAUACAAACAAUUGUGUACAACAUAGACAUUGGGAAGGUUAAGGAGACUCCAAGGGUUGCUGAGCUCAGAGCUUUUUUAAAGAUGGAGUUAACUUUGAUUUAGAAUAUGGACUAUAUAUGAAGAGACAUCCUCUCUUUUCUAAAGAGAAAAAUGCGUUUCAAAUUCAACUCUUAUGACUUUGAGACCGCUAAUCCAUUGGGAUCAAAAAAGGAUAUUCACAAGUUGGAAAGUAUAUAGUUUACUUUGAGAAAUGUUACCCCAAAGUUUAAUUUAAUUUUGGUAAAUAUUCACUUAUGCGCACUUUUCCAUACCCAGGACCUUAAAACUUAUGGAUUGGAUUCCAUUCUUGAGCCAAUAGUAAGUGAUUUGAAAGUGCUUGAGACUGAGGGUAUUGAAGUUGCCUUCUUCAGUGGUCGUAUACAUGGCAGUAUUGUCCAAGUAACUGGAGAUAAUCUUGGUAUACAUUACCUGUUCGGUUUUGUGGAGUAAUUUAGUGCUCGUUAUUGUUGCUGUUUUUGCCACACUGGGAAAUGCACUCAGACCAUUGUCAAACUAUUCAGUCAAACUCAACACUACCUCAUGUGUACGGUGUGAAGCAUGCUUGCUUAUUGAACUCUAUGCAGUUCUUCAAUACUACAGACAAUUUUUCUGUUGAUAUAAUGCAUGACAUUUUAGAAGGAGUUGCACAACUUGAGGUAACUUUGUGACUGCUAAAGAUGUGUACGGUAGAGUUCGUUCAUUUUACUAUGGCUACACAGAGAGGAGGAAUUUUCUACCUGCACUCAAAUUGGAUGAUGGGGGCAAUGAUUUGGGUCUAAAGGCUAUUCAGUCUUGGUGUCUUUUCUGUAAUUUGCCAUUGAUAUUUGGUGAUCUGGUACAGAAAGAUGAUAAAUACUGGCAGCUGCUUUUGUUACUACUACAAAUGGUAAAUAUUGUGUUUUCUCCUAUACUAACAGAGGGCAUGACUAUCUAUCUGACACACUUACUUGCUAAACAUCAUAGGCUUUUCGUGUAUUUGUUUCCUGAUAGAAAUCUGUUACCGAAACACCACUUCAUGAUGCAUUAUCCUCGUCGUAUAAGGAAUAUUGGGCCCAUUCUUCAUUCGUGGUGUAUGCCCUACGAGGAUAAACAUAAUUUCUAUAAAAAGCAACUGAAGAGUUUUAAUGACCUUAACCAAGAAACACCAAAAUGACAUGGCAUAUAAUUGGGAAACGUUCAGCCAGGAUAGACUAGCUAUAGGUCCAGGAAAUAUGUCAAGGCUCAAUGAGCUGAAAGAAAGCCAUGAGAUUGCUGCCAAGCUGAAUGUCUCAGUGCACACAUGUUUUGUCAGUUAAAUGGGUAUAGCACCAUGGUACAGAAUAUCGUCUUGAUUUGGUCAUACCUGGUGAAGUAGUCAUUGAAAUGCCAGUAUUUUACAAAAUUAAGGCUAUUGUUCUGAAAGAGGAAAAUGUUUUUGGGGGUUGGGUCAGUUCUUGAAACCUUAUGUUUUGAUGAUCAUUUGCAUGCAUUUAAAGUUGUUUUGAAGCAAUGUCCAUCAUGCAAGGUAUUUCAUGUAAAUGAUAUCAUUUACCACAAACCUUUUCAUUUGCUCAUGUCAUAUGGAGCAAGGGAUUCUUUUGACUACAUUGUACUCUUACUUGAUAACAGUUUAAGCCAGGGCUGGGACUUGUGGUUUGGUCAUAAUUCACAUAUUUGAAUGUUGAAACAGCUUUGCUUGAGUUUAUUGUGAAAUUCCAAGUGCUUUUACAAAAUAUAAUUUAUAUUUACAUGGGGGAAGAGUAAAUGAAUAAAUGAACACUGUUUAGAGUAAACACAUUUUUACUCUAAAAGGAUUCACCCUAGAUCAACACUAGUGAGUGUCACUAUAAAGUGACUCUCAAAGUGUUGAUUACCUCUUAGUGUUACAUUUUAUUAACACCGGCCAGUAUAGUGCAGUGUUAACUUUUUGCACUCCUCAGUGUUAACUCAACACUAGAAAUGUAACACUUUGAUCACUUUUUACUCUGUGAAGAGUGGGGCCAUAUGUACUUGCCGACAGUGUUACAUUUAACACUGUUAAAUCAACACUUUCAAAUUUACUGUGUAGAGUUUACAAGCUUGAUGUAACCAUUGUGUGCUAGGAAUAUGGGACCAAAUACUAAACUUAACCACUAAUACACAAGUG
Molecule: long non-coding RNA, 3107 nt
Organism: Oncorhynchus tshawytscha (Chinook salmon)
Lineage: Eukaryota; Metazoa; Chordata; Actinopteri; Salmoniformes; Salmonidae
Exons: 3
Source: RefSeq, a predicted model, not a curated record